This 447-nucleotide ribosomal RNA is filed under the name uncultured bacterium. Its description in RNAcentral is "partial 16S ribosomal RNA". It matches the Rfam family "Bacterial small subunit ribosomal RNA", at positions 29 to 507 of the family's 1533-position model. The record is from RNAcentral.
AACGAACGCUAUCGGUAUGCUUAACACAUGCAAGUCGGACGGACUAAUUAGGGCUUGCUCCAAUUAGUUAGUGGCAGACGGGUGAGUAACACGUGGGAAUCUGCCCAUCAGUACGGAAUAACUUUUAGAAAUAAAAGCUAAUACCGUAUAUUCUCUACAGAGGAAAGAUUUAUCGCUGAUGGAUGAGCCCGCGUCAGAUUAGGUAGUUGGUGAGGUAACGGCUCACCAAGCCGACGAUCUGUAGCUGGUCUGAGAGGAUGAUCAGCCACACUGGGACUGAGACACGGCCCAGACUCCUACGGGAGGCAGCAGUGGGGAAUAUUGGACAAUGGGCGAAAGCCUGAUCCAGCAAUACCGAGUGAGUGAUAAAGGCCCUAGGGUUGUAAAGCUCCUUUAGCAAGGAAGAUAAUGACGUUACUUGCAGAAAAAGCCCCGGCUAACUCCGUG